GGCAACUGGUUGGUUGGGUUUUCUGAAGGUGAGAAAAUCCCACUUCCACUGUCCCUCUAUGUCCUUCGGGACUUCAUGGUAACCAGGUGUCAGCAUUGCCCAGAACACGAGGGAAACAGCCCCAUCUUCCACCUGAGGCGCUGCCCGGCUCCGCCAUCCGGGAGCUGAGGCCCGGGCCCAGAGCUACACGCCGGACCCGGGCCCGGCCCCUGCCCGGCCCGCGGGCUCCGAGCUCCGGGUCGGGGACCGGGACCCGCCAGUGCCGCGUCCCCCAGCCCGGGCCGGAGCCCGCCGGGAGCAGCG
Molecule: long non-coding RNA, 303 nt
Filed under: Gallus gallus (chicken)
Lineage: Eukaryota; Metazoa; Chordata; Aves; Galliformes; Phasianidae
Source: RNAcentral